RNAcentral lists this non-coding RNA (253 nucleotides) under uncultured bacterium. RNAcentral's name for it is "partial 16S ribosomal RNA". It matches the Rfam family "Bacterial small subunit ribosomal RNA", at positions 524 to 776 of the family's 1533-position model. RNAcentral also lists the same sequence under 1 other name. The record is from RNAcentral.
UACGUAGGGUGCAAGCGUUAAUCGGAAUUACUGGGCGUAAAGCGUGCGCAGGCGGUUUCGUAAGACAGAUGUGAAAUCCCCGGGCUUAACCUGGGAACUGCAUUUGUGACUGCGAGGCUAGAGUGUGUCAGAGGGAGGUGGAAUUCCGCGUGUAGCAGUGAAAUGCGUAGAGAUGCGGAGGAACACCGAUGGCGAAGGCAGCCUCCUGGGAUAACACUGACGCUCAUGCACGAAAGCGUGGGGAGCAAACAGG